CCAACACCACUUCAGCUUCUGCCAGACAGAUGGAACUCUCCAACAUGAAAACCUGCACAACCAUUCCAACAAGCAGGACUCUGCCUGAGGUUGUCUCAAGGAUGCCGAAGAAAAAGACUUGUGGUCUGGGAGCGCUCUUACUCCGACAUUGAGGUGUCUCACUGGUUUGCACAAUGAAGAUUGAUACCAUGAUCAUCCUACUUGCAUCAAAGGACAAUUAUUCAUCGGUGUGCUGUUAUCAAGCAGAGAUUUCCAAAUAUUAGUUCUUUAACUCAAAGAAAAGUAGCUGCAUUCAGGCAGAAAGGCAUGUGGGAACCCCUAAGUGUGUAUGAUUUGUCUCCCGACAAAGUUGCUUCAGCAUUUUUGUUUGUUUGUUUUUUAAAUGCUUCUCUCUGUAGUAUCCUCCAGACUCUAAACUACUAGAUGGGUUCCUAAGUUCCUUCAGAUGUGUCCCAAGUCAGAAUUCUUUAUCCACUUCCCACCCUCUAGCUCCAUGGAUU
Molecule: long non-coding RNA, 500 nt
Organism: Phyllostomus hastatus (greater spear-nosed bat)
Lineage: Eukaryota; Metazoa; Chordata; Mammalia; Chiroptera; Phyllostomidae
Exons: 3
Source: RefSeq, a predicted model, not a curated record